Long non-coding RNA from Topomyia yanbarensis, 1346 nucleotides. RefSeq lists it as uncharacterized. Lineage: Eukaryota; Metazoa; Arthropoda; Insecta; Diptera; Culicidae. The transcript is spliced from 4 exons. The record is from RefSeq and is a predicted model, not a curated record.
AAAUCAUAGUGUACUGUUUUCGUUCAUUUCCGAAUAAUAAACAAUCGGUAUCCUUGGUAUCCUUUUGCUCUUAUUAAUAAAAUAAAAUAAAGCUUACAACAUCCUGUCGAGUAAUUUUACAAAAAAAUAUGCUGCUGAAUUGGUGUGUGUCAAACCACCAGUAGUUCCGCCGAUUUCAAAAGAAUAUUUAUCGAAAUCCUACUUUGACAAGCACAAGGAUUCCGACUAUGGUUUUCAGCACGAGUUUGAACUUUUGCCGGAUAAGUUUGCCGAUCGUACGACGAAGAAUUCCGAUCUGAAGGAGAACAUUCACAAGAAUCGUUACCGGAAUAUUAAGUCUUACGAUCAGACGCGCGUAAAGUUGUCGACGAUGAACGGACUGUCCGGGUCGGAUUAUAUCAAUGCGAGUUUUGUCAUUGGUUAUAAGGAGCGUAAGAAGUUUAUCUGCGCGCAGGGACCAAUGGAUAGCACUAUUGUGGAUUUCUGGUGAAUGAUUUGGGAGCAGCAUUCGGAGAUCAUUGUGAUGCUGACUAACCUGGAGGAGUACAAUAAAACGAAGUGCGCCAAAUAUUGGCCGGAGAAUAUCAACGAUUGUACCCAGUACGGAGACAUUAUGAUAACGUUCAGAUAACUAUUACGCGGAUUAUAUCAUUAGGAAUUUGAAGGUCACGAAACGAAACGUCAAUUCAGCCGGUGAAGAAGUCGAAGAGACACGAUUCCUUUCCCAGUACCAUUAUCUCACCUGGAAGGAUUUUAUGGCUCCUCAGCACCCACAGGGAAACUUCAAUUCAUCAAGCGCAUUAACUCCGAAUACUCAUUGCAGCAUGGCCCAAUUCUAGUUCACUGCACUGCCGGUGUCGGCUGGACGGGUACGUUUGUUGCGUUGGAUACCUUAACGCAGCAGCUGAACGAGGAGGGUCAAGUGUUCAUUUCCAACACAAUUUAUGAUAUGUGAUAUCAAAGAAAUUUUCUCGUACAGUCAUUGAAACAAUGCAUAUUUUUAUAUCGAGCCCUCACCGAAUUAGCGUACUUUGGAGACACAGAAAUUGAUUAAAAGUCAUUAGCCACAGCAGUAGACAGUCUGAAACAGCCAUCAGCGGAUAAUCCGGAUAUAUGUAAGUUGGAAGCACAAUACCAGCGAAUCAAAACCUUCCAAGAGGAUACUCGAAGGACGACUGCCAUCGGUGGAAGUAAGGACAAUAAGCCGAAAAACUUCCGACACGUGUGCUCCUCACGACAAGAAUCGGGUAAUAUUGGCGUCGAUGCCUGGUCAUGACAAUUGCACCUACAUCAACGCGUGGUUCAUCGAUGGGUACGACGACGAGAAUAACUUUAUCAUAACGCUG